UGCGGUCAUCCCACACUUUACAGCUGAGCGGAGUACCGGAGCUUUCUCCUUGAUUCAUCGAGGUGAGUAAUGCCUAUGAAUCUGCCUGAUAUUGGGGGACAACGUUUCGAAAGGAACGCUCAUACCGCAUACGUGCUAGGGAGAAAGCAGGGACCUUCGGGCCUUGCGCUAUCAGAUGAGCCUAAGUCGGAUUAGCUAGUUGGUGAGGUAAUGGCUCACCAAAGCGAAGAUCCGAAACUGGUCUGAGAAGAUGAUCAGUCCACUGGAACUGAGACACGGUCCAGACUCCUCGGGAGGCAGCAGUGGGGAAUAUUGGACACUGGGGCGAGUGACUGAAUCAUUACAUGUCGAGUGUGUGAAAAG
Molecule: ribosomal RNA, 363 nt
Filed under: uncultured bacterium
Lineage: Bacteria
Description: bacterial SSU rRNA
Rfam family: Bacterial small subunit ribosomal RNA (bases 16-340)
Source: RNAcentral